UCUGGGAACUGGGUUGGCGUGUGU
This 24-nucleotide non-coding RNA is filed under the name Cricetulus griseus (Chinese hamster). The record is from RNAcentral. Lineage: Eukaryota; Metazoa; Chordata; Mammalia; Rodentia; Cricetidae.